UCUACAGCAGGAUGUUUAUGACAGGACGAGAUAACGGAUGCUCAGCCACAGCAUAAAAAUCAUAAAAAGGUCACAACAUGACACAAUAUAUAUAUGAAACACAGAGAUAAGUUAUGAUGGGGUCCCGUCACCGCCUUUUUCUCACCUGCAGAUUCUCAGUUUGUGUUUGUUGGAAGAGCCAGAAGGAUUAACCAAACUACCAUUUUGUGGACUUUUAUUUUGAAACCAUCACUAUGGAGUGCAGUGGCAGCCAAUGUCGAGUUUGGCUCAUAUUUAUAUUCAUCUUUUGCUGAACGUGGAAAAAUUCUGAUCUCAAUACAGGUGUGUUCAGACAGAGACCGGCAGAUGUGACACAAAAAUACAGAACACCUAUAACUCCUACCCAGUGGACAUUCUAUGUGUGGGAUUUUUUGCAUUUUUGGUUUGUUGUGAUGUUUAUUUAUUUUCUACUUGGACUUUGGCGCAGGAACGCCUAUGAAUGGAUGUACACCACACCUGCAGUGCUACCCUAUGGAUUUCAUGUGUUUUUCAUCAUCAACUUUUGUUUGAACGUGAUGUGGUUGUUUCUGUUGGACAGAGAGUGGCUUCUAUCGCUGCUGAUAACCUCAAUGUUACUGAUGCUCACCACAUACAUGAUGCUUUUUCUCUCAUGUCAAGGACUGAAGGUCUAUGGAGCCUGGCUCAGCAAAUAUCACAACAAAGACCUCUGGCUCUUGAGAAUAAUACCUAUUUGACAUCAAACUGCCGUGUAUUUGGCUUCUGGACUAAAAUGAGUUUGAAACCCCUGGUGCAGAAUGGAGUGGCGGUGUAUGCAACAUGGGCCACACUCUCCAGCCUGCUGAACAUGACGAUAUACUUACAGCACCGAACAGAAACACCCACAUGUGACUGUGCACUGCUGGCUCUGCUGCUGCUUCUGAUGGAAUUGUUAGGCUGGUUUCUACUGGAGAACUUCUACCUCGAUGAACACGUACGUUACAUCCUGACCAUCUACCCUGUGGUGACCCUGUGGCUGACGGGCGUCCUGAGGAACUUUGAAUCCUCUGACACACAAGUGUACACGUUUGCAGCAUUCAUUCUGGCUAUUUCCGUCAUCCUGUUUGUGGUUCGUGUCGUCCUGGUCACAUGGAGGCAUCAAAAAAAGCAGCUUUUCAAACACACUGAACCCAUUUUGUCCCCAGUAGAAAUAUCUUUGACACAAAACAGCCUGUUUCUGUAACCGUAUACAUAGAGUUGAUGUAAGUAAAUGAAGAGCUUUUAUAGAUUUUGGGUUGUUUCUGCAGAAUAGAUUCCAGACACAAAAGCAUUUAAGUACAACUUUGAAGAAAACAAUGUUGUUGUUUUUUUAACUCACCUGUUGUUUGUUCUCAGAAUAAAGACAGAAAUGUUACAGUGCA
Molecule: long non-coding RNA, 1397 nt
Filed under: Gouania willdenowi (blunt-snouted clingfish)
Lineage: Eukaryota; Metazoa; Chordata; Actinopteri; Blenniiformes; Gobiesocidae
Description: lncRNA (ENSGWIG00000023654.1)
Source: RNAcentral